Molecule: ribosomal RNA, 247 nt
Filed under: uncultured archaeon
Lineage: Archaea
Description: partial 16S ribosomal RNA
Rfam family: Archaeal small subunit ribosomal RNA
Source: RNAcentral
AAGGGCCGGGCAAGACCGGUGCCAGCCGCCGCGGUACACCGGCGGCUCGAGUGGUGGCCGUGAUUAUUGGGUUUAAAGGGUUCGUAGCCGGGUUGGUCAGUCUUCCGGGAAAUCUGACGGCUCAACCGUCAGGCGUUCAAGGGAUACUGCCAAUCUUGGAACCGGGAGAGGUAAGGGGUACUUCAGGGGUAGGAGUGAAAUCCUGUAAUCCUCUAGGGACCACCUGUGGCGAAGGCGUCUCACCAGA